Cinara cedri is the source of this 281-nucleotide non-coding RNA. The record is from the annotation of a GenBank genome assembly. Lineage: Eukaryota; Metazoa; Arthropoda; Insecta; Hemiptera; Aphididae.
CUCUCGCCUUUGAUAAUAUUUAAUUUUAAUACAAUAUAAUAGGAAGGAAAGAUAUAUUGUGAGUAGAAGCAAUCCUAAGUGAACUGUACCUUAAGGUAAAUUUUCCUCACAGUGGCCACCUGAGUAUCAAGUUUACAUUCACUGGUCAAGAACAGGUUAUCAAAUCCGCCCUCAGCCUGGACAAAAUCUCAGAUUUAAUUUAUAGAGUUGCCCACGUAUAGAUCGACAAAGAAACUGUGCCUAUUAUAUUGAUUUAAUACAUAUACACUGGUAUAAUUUAU